Molecule: ribosomal RNA, 253 nt
Filed under: uncultured bacterium
Lineage: Bacteria
Description: partial 16S ribosomal RNA
Rfam family: Bacterial small subunit ribosomal RNA
Source: RNAcentral
UACGGGGGGGGCAAGCGUUGUUCGGAAUUACUGGGCGUAAAGGGUUCGUAGGUGGCCAACUAAGUCAGACGUGAAAUCCCUCAGCUCAACUGGGGAACUGCGUCUGAUACUGGUCGGCUUGAGUGCAGGAGGGGAACGCGGAAUUCCAGGUGUAGCGGUGAAAUGCGUAGAUAUCUGGAGGAACACCGGUGGCGAAGGCGGCGUUCUGGACUGCAACUGACACUGAGGAACGAAAGCCAGGGGAGCAAACGGG